GGGCUUAUGAUGAUAAUAUAAUUAUCUUAGCGGAUUUCAGUGAGAUAAACUUAUUUAUCAGUGAUCUGAUUGUUACACACACUGAGGCCU
Molecule: small nucleolar RNA, 90 nt
Filed under: Manihot esculenta (cassava)
Lineage: Eukaryota; Viridiplantae; Streptophyta; Magnoliopsida; Malpighiales; Euphorbiaceae
Description: Small nucleolar RNA R11/Z151
Rfam family: Small nucleolar RNA R11/Z151
About the family: snoR11/Z151 is a member of the C/D class of snoRNA which contain the C (UGAUGA) and D (CUGA) box motifs. Most of the members of the box C/D family function in directing site-specific 2'-O-methylation of substrate RNAs.
Source: Rfam by way of RNAcentral